UUAAGCGACUAAGCGUACACGGUGGAUGCCUGGCAGUCAGAGGCGAUGAAGGACGUGCUAAUCUGCGAUAAGCGUCGGUAAGGUGAUAUGAACCGUUAUAACCGGCGAUUUCCGAAUGGGGAAACCCAGUGUGAUUCGUCACACUAUCAUUAACUGAAUCCAUAGGUUAAUGAGGCGAACCGGGGGAACUGAAACAUCUAAGUACCCCGAGGAAAAGAAAUCAACCGAGAUUCCCCCAGUAGCGGCGAGCGAACGGGGAGGAGCCCAGAGCCUGAAUCAGUGUGUGUGUUAGUGGAAGCGUCUGGAAAGGCGCGCGAUACAGGGUGACAGCCCCGUACACAAAAAUGCACAUGCUGUGAGCUCGAUGAGUAGGGCGGGACACGUGGUAUCCUGUCUGAAUAUGGGGGGACCAUCCUCCAAGGCUAAAUACUCCUGACUGACCGAUAGUGAACCAGUACCGUGAGGGAAAGGCGAAAAGAACCCCGGCGAGGGGAGUGAAAAAGAACCUGAAACCGUGUACGUACAAGCAGUGGGAGCACAGAGCAAUCUGUGUGACUGCGUACCUUUUGUAUAAUGGGUCAGCGACUUAUAUUCUGUAGCAAGGUUAACCGAAUAGGGGAGCCGAAGGGAAACCGAGUCUUAACUGGGCGUUAAGUUGCAGGGUAUAGACCCGAAACCCGGUGAUCUAGCCAUGGGCAGGUUGAAGGUUGGGUAACACUAACUGGAGGACCGAACCGACUAAUGUUGAAAAAUUAGCGGAUGACUUGUGGCUGGGGGUGAAAGGCCAAUCAAACCGGGAGAUAGCUGGUUCUCCCCGAAAGCUAUUUAGGUAGCGCCUCGUGAAUUCAUCUCCGGGGGUAGAGCACUGUUUCGGCAAGGGGGUCAUCCCGACUUACCAACCCGAUGCAAACUGCGAAUACCGGAGAAUGUUAUCACGGGAGACACACGGCGGGUGCUAACGUCCGUCGUGAAGAGGGAAACAACCCAGACCGCCAGCUAAGGUCCCAAAGUCAUGGUUAAGUGGGAAACGAUGUGGGAAGGCCCAGACAGCCAGGAUGUUGGCUUAGAAGCAGCCAUCAUUUAAAGAAAGCGUAAUAGCUCACUGGUCGAGUCGGCCUGCGCGGAAGAUGUAACGGGGCUAAACCAUGCACCGAAGCUGCGGCAGCGACACUGUGUGUUGUUGGGUAGGGGAGCGUUCUGUAAGCCUGUGAAGGUGUGCUGUGAGGCAUGCUGGAGGUAUCAGAAGUGCGAAUGCUGACAUAAGUAACGAUAAAGCGGGUGAAAAGCCCGCUCGCCGGAAGACCAAGGGUUCCUGUCCAACGUUAAUCGGGGCAGGGUGAGUCGACCCCUAAGGCGAGGCCGAAAGGCGUAGUCGAUGGGAAACAGGUUAAUAUUCCUGUACUUGGUGUUACUGCGAAGGGGGGACGGAGAAGGCUAUGUUGGCCGGGCGACGGUUGUCCCGGUUUAAGCGUGUAGGCUGGUUUUCCAGGCAAAUCCGGAAAAUCAAGGCUGAGGCGUGAUGACGAGGCACUACGGUGCUGAAGCAACAAAUGCCCUGCUUCCAGGAAAAGCCUCUAAGCAUCAGGUAACAUCAAAUCGUACCCCAAACCGACACAGGUGGUCAGGUAGAGAAUACCAAGGCGCUUGAGAGAACUCGGGUGAAGGAACUAGGCAAAAUGGUGCCGUAACUUCGGGAGAAGGCACGCUGAUAUGUAGGUGAAGUCCCUCGCGGAUGGAGCUGAAAUCAGUCGAAGAUACCAGCUGGCUGCAACUGUUUAUUAAAAACACAGCACUGUGCAAACACGAAAGUGGACGUAUACGGUGUGACGCCUGCCCGGUGCCGGAAGGUUAAUUGAUGGGGUCAGCGCAAGCGAAGCUCUUGAUCGAAGCCCCGGUAAACGGCGGCCGUAACUAUAACGGUCCUAAGGUAGCGAAAUUCCUUGUCGGGUAAGUUCCGACCUGCACGAAUGGCGUAAUGAUGGCCAGGCUGUCUCCACCCGAGACUCAGUGAAAUUGAACUCGCUGUGAAGAUGCAGUGUACCCGCGGCAAGACGGAAAGACCCCGUGAACCUUUACUAUAGCUUGACACUGAACAUUGAGCCUUGAUGUGUAGGAUAGGUGGGAGGCUUUGAAGUGUGGACGCCAGUCUGCAUGGAGCCGACCUUGAAAUACCACCCUUUAAUGUUUGAUGUUCUAACGUGGACCCGUGAUCCGGGUUGCGGACAGUGUCUGGUGGGUAGUUUGACUGGGGCGGUCUCCUCCUAAAGAGUAACGGAGGAGCACGAAGGUUGGCUAAUCCUGGUCGGACAUCAGGAGGUUAGUGCAAUGGCAUAAGCCAGCUUGACUGCGAGCGUGACGGCGCGAGCAGGUGCGAAAGCAGGUCAUAGUGAUCCGGUGGUUCUGAAUGGAAGGGCCAUCGCUCAACGGAUAAAAGGUACUCCGGGGAUAACAGGCUGAUACCGCCCAAGAGUUCAUAUCGACGGCGGUGUUUGGCACCUCGAUGUCGGCUCAUCACAUCCUGGGGCUGAAGUAGGUCCCAAGGGUAUGGCUGUUCGCCAUUUAAAGUGGUACGCGAGCUGGGUUUAGAACGUCGUGAGACAGUUCGGUCCCUAUCUGCCGUGGGCGCUGGAGAACUGAGGGGGGCUGCUCCUAGUACGAGAGGACCGGAGUGGACGCAUCACUGGUGUUCGGGUUGUCAUGCCAAUGGCACUGCCCGGUAGCUAAAUGCGGAAGAGAUAAGUGCUGAAAGCAUCUAAGCACGAAACUUGCCCCGAGAUGAGUUCUCCCUGACCCUUUAAGGGUCCUGAAGGAACGUUGAAGACGACGACGUUGAUAGGCCGGGUGUGUAAGCGCAGCGAUGCGUUGAGCUAACCGGUACUAAUGAACCGUGAGGCUUAACCUU
This 2902-nucleotide ribosomal RNA is filed under the name Escherichia coli DEC3A. RNAcentral's name for it is "bacterial LSU rRNA". It matches the Rfam family "Bacterial large subunit ribosomal RNA". Lineage: Bacteria; Pseudomonadati; Pseudomonadota; Gammaproteobacteria; Enterobacterales; Enterobacteriaceae. The record is from RNAcentral.